RNAcentral lists this transfer RNA (73 nucleotides) under Candidatus Sungiibacteriota bacterium. RNAcentral describes it as "tRNA-Cys". It matches the Rfam family "tRNA". Rfam says of the family: Transfer RNA (tRNA) molecules are approximately 80 nucleotides in length. Their secondary structure includes four short double-helical elements and three loops (D, anti-codon, and T loops). Further hydrogen bonds mediate the characteristic L-shaped molecular structure. tRNAs have two regions of fundamental functional importance: the anti-codon, which is responsible for specific mRNA codon recognition, and the 3' end, to which the tRNAs corresponding amino acid is attached (by aminoacyl-tRNA synthetases). tRNAs cope with the degeneracy of the genetic code in two manners: having more than one tRNA (with a specific anti-codon) for a particular amino acid; and 'wobble' base-pairing, i.e. permitting non-standard base-pairing at the 3rd anti-codon position. The record is from RNAcentral. Lineage: Bacteria; Candidatus Sungiibacteriota.
GGCGCAGUGGCGAAGAGGUAACGCGGCGGUCUGCAAAACCGCCAUGCGGCGGGUUCGAAUCCCCCCUGCGCCU